UGGGGAAUCUUGGACAAUGGGCGCAAGCCUGAUCCAGCCAUGCCGCGUGAGUGAAGAAGGCCUUCGGGUUGUAAAGCUCUUUUACCAGGGACGAUAAUGACGGUACCUGGAGAAUAAGCCCCGGCAAACUUCGUGCCAGCAGCCGCGGUAAUACGAAGGGGGCUAGCGUUGUUCGGAUUUACUGGGCGUAAAGCGCGUGUAGGCGGGUCGUUAAGUUGGGGGUGAAAUCCCCGGGCUCAACCUGGGAACUGCAUUCAAAACUGACUGACUAGAGUAUGGUAGAGGGUGGUGGAAUUUCCUGUGUAGCGGUGAAAUGCGUAGAUAUAGGAAGGAACACCAGUGGCGAAGGCGACCACCUGGACUGAUACUGACACUGAGGUGCGAAAGCGUGGGGAGCAAACAGGAUUAGAUACCCCAGUAGUCCCUGAGCGGGCUGGCAAGGCGCAU
RNAcentral lists this ribosomal RNA (447 nucleotides) under uncultured bacterium. RNAcentral's name for it is "bacterial SSU rRNA". It matches the Rfam family "Bacterial small subunit ribosomal RNA", at positions 355 to 825 of the family's 1533-position model. The record is from RNAcentral.